AAAGGAUGCAGUACUAG
Molecule: unclassified non-coding RNA, 17 nt
Filed under: Mus musculus (house mouse)
Lineage: Eukaryota; Metazoa; Chordata; Mammalia; Rodentia; Muridae
Description: oocyte_clustered_small_RNA6088
Source: RNAcentral